GGGGUUGUAGCUCAGUGGCAGAGCACUUGCCUACUAGCAUGUAUGAGGCACUAGGUUCGAUCCUUAGCAGCACUA
Molecule: non-coding RNA, 75 nt
Organism: Ictidomys tridecemlineatus (thirteen-lined ground squirrel)
Lineage: Eukaryota; Metazoa; Chordata; Mammalia; Rodentia; Sciuridae
Source: Rfam